UGGGGAAUAUUGCACAAUGGGCGCAAGCCUGAUGCAGCCAUGCCGCGUGUGUGAAGAAGGCCUUCGGGUUGUAAAGCACUUUCAUCGGGGAGGAAGGCGGUGAGGUUAAUAACCUCACCGAUUGACGUUACCCGCAGAAGAAGCACCGGCUAACUCCGUGCCAGCAGCCGCGGUAAUACGGAGGGUGCAAGCGUUAAUCGGAAUUACUGGGCGUAAAGCGCACGAAGGCGGUCUGUCAAGUCGGAUGUGAAAUCCCCGGGCUCAACCUGGGAAAUGCAUUCGAAACUGGCAGGCUAGAGUAUGGUAGAGGGGGGUAGAAUUCCAGGUGAAGCGGUGAAAUGCGUAGAGAUCUGGGGGAAUACCGGUGGCGAAGGCGGCCCCCUGGACAAAGACUGACGCUCAGGUGCGAAAGCGUGGGGAGCAAACAGG
Molecule: ribosomal RNA, 429 nt
Filed under: Chloroflexota bacterium
Lineage: Bacteria; Bacillati; Chloroflexota
Description: Chloroflexi bacterium partial 16S ribosomal RNA
Rfam family: Bacterial small subunit ribosomal RNA
Source: RNAcentral